RNAcentral lists this ribosomal RNA (433 nucleotides) under uncultured bacterium. RNAcentral describes it as "partial 16S ribosomal RNA". It matches the Rfam family "Bacterial small subunit ribosomal RNA", at positions 29 to 507 of the family's 1533-position model. The record is from RNAcentral.
AACGAACGCUGGCGGCAGGCCUAACACAUGCAAGUCGAGCGAGCAUUUCGGUGCUAGCGGCGGACGGGUGAGUAACGCGUGGGAACGUGCCCUUUUCUGCGGAAUAGUCCUGGGAAACUGGGGGUAAUACCGCAUACGCCCUUUUGGGGAAAGAUUUAUCGGAGAAGGAUCGGCCCGCGUUGGAUUAGGUAGUUGGUGGGGUAAUGGCCCACCAAGCCGACGAUCCAUAGCUGGUUUGAGAGGAUGAUCGGCCACACUGGGACUGAGACACGGCCCAGACUCCUACGGGAGGCAGCAGUGGGGAAUCUUAGACACUGGGGGCAACCCUGAUCUAGCCAUGCCGCGUGAGUGAUGAAGGCCUUAGGGUUGUAAAGCUCUUUCAGCUGGGAAGAUAAUGACGGUACCAGCAGAAGAAGCCCCGGCUAACUCCGUG